Long non-coding RNA from Cavia porcellus (domestic guinea pig), 300 nucleotides. RefSeq lists it as uncharacterized. The record is from RefSeq and is a predicted model, not a curated record. Lineage: Eukaryota; Metazoa; Chordata; Mammalia; Rodentia; Caviidae. The transcript is spliced from 3 exons.
GAAAAAGUCUACAGUACUUCUUUUGCCAGCAAAUGAAGAGUCCAUACAUGCAUACACAAAAAGGAUUCAGAAUGGAAAGAGGAAGUGAAAGACCUGAACCUCCUGCAUCAAGGUGUGUCCAGAUGAGCACUUCUUACCUGAAAUAUAAGAAGAGACGUGUCCCCUUCAGGACAGGGUUUGAAAAAACAACAAAGAGAGAGAAGUAACCAACAAAGGGAUAAAGGAAGAAGGAGAGAGGGGAAAAAUACAGCAGGAGGAAAGAAGCAAAAGAUAGGAAAAAUAAAACACAAAUGAAGAGAU